Molecule: ribosomal RNA, 497 nt
Filed under: uncultured bacterium
Lineage: Bacteria
Description: partial 16S ribosomal RNA
Rfam family: Bacterial small subunit ribosomal RNA
Source: RNAcentral
GAUGAACGCUGGCGGCGUGCCUAAUACAUGCAAGUCGAGCGAACAGACGAGGAGCUUGCUCCUCUGACGUUAGCGGCGGACGGGUGAGUAACACGUGGAUAACCUACCUAUAAGACUGGGAUAACUUCGGGAAACCGGAGCUAAUACCGGAUAAUAUAUUGAACCGCAUGGUUCAAUAGUGAAAGACGGUUUUGCUGUCAGUAAUAGAUGGAUCCGCGCCGCAUUAGCUAGUUGGUAAGGUAACGGCUUACCAAGGCAACGAUGCGUAGACGACCUGAGAGGGUGAUCGGCCACACUGGAACUGAGACACGGUCCAGACUCCGGCGGGAGGCAGCAGUAGGGAAUCUUCCGCAAUGGGCGAAAGCCUGACGGAGCAAAGCCGCGUGAGUGAUGAAGGUCUUCGGAUCGUAAAACUCUGUUAUUAGGGAAGAACAAAUGUGUAAGUAACUAUGCACGUAUUGACGGUACCUAAUCAGAAAGCCACGGCUAACUACGUG